GAAAUGCGAUAAGUAAUGUGAAUUGCAGAAUUCAGUGAAUCAUCGAAUCUUUGAACGCACCUUGCGCUCCUUGGUAUUCCUUGGAGCAUGCCUGUUUGAGUAUCAUGAAAUCUUCAAAGUAAAUCUUUUGUUAACUCAAUUGGUUUCUACUUUGGUAUUGGAGGUCUUUGCAGCUUCACACCUGCUCCUCUUUGUUCAUUAGCUGGAUCUCAGUGUUAUGCUUGGUUCCACUCGGCGUGAUAAGUUAUCUAUCGCUGAGGACACUGUAAAAGGUGGCCAAGGUAAAUGCAGAUGAACCGCUUCUAAUAGUCCAUUGACUUGGACAAUACUUUUAUGAUCUGAUCUCACAUCAGCUUGGACUACCCGCUGAACUUAAGC
This 378-nucleotide unclassified non-coding RNA is filed under the name plant metagenome. Its description in RNAcentral is "partial contains 5.8S ribosomal RNA, internal transcribed spacer 2, and large subunit ribosomal RNA". The stretch from base 1 to 105 matches the Rfam family "5.8S ribosomal RNA", at positions 50 to 154 of the family's 154-position model. The record is from RNAcentral.